CGCCUGGGGAGUACGGCCGCAAGGUUAAAACUCAAAUGAAUUGACGGGGGCCCGCACAAGCGGUGGAGCAUGUGGUUUAAUUCGACGCAACGCGAAGAACCUUACCUGGCCUUGACAUCCAGAGAGCUUUCCAGAGAUGGAUUGGUGCCUUCGGGAACUCUGAGACAGGUGCUGCAUGGCCGUCGUCAGCUCGUGUCGUGAGAUGUUGGGUUAAGUCCCGUAACGAGCGCAACCCCUAUCCCUGGUUGCUAGCAGGUAAUGCUGAGAACUCCAGGGAGACUGCCGGUGACAAACCGGAGGAAGGUGGGGAUGACGUCAGGUCAUCAUGGCCCUUACGGCCAGGGCUACACACGUGCUACAAUGGCGCGUACAGAGGGCUGCCAACUCGCGAGAGUGAGCCAAUCCCUUAAAACGCGUCGUAGUCCGGAUCGGAGUCUGCAACUCGACUCCGUGAAGUCGGAAUCGCUAGUAAUCGCGAAUCAGAAUGUCGCGGUGAAUACGUUCCCGGGCCUUGUACACACCGCCCGUCACACCAUGGGAGUGGAUUGCACCAGAAGUAGUUAGUCUAACCUUCGGGAGGACGAUUACCACGGUGUGGUUCAUGACUGGGGGUGAAGUCGUAACAAGGUAACCGUA
This 636-nucleotide ribosomal RNA is filed under the name uncultured Marinobacter sp. RNAcentral's name for it is "bacterial SSU rRNA". It matches the Rfam family "Bacterial small subunit ribosomal RNA", at positions 870 to 1504 of the family's 1533-position model. The record is from RNAcentral. Lineage: Bacteria; Pseudomonadati; Pseudomonadota; Gammaproteobacteria; Pseudomonadales; Marinobacteraceae.